This 385-nucleotide ribosomal RNA is filed under the name uncultured bacterium. RNAcentral's name for it is "bacterial SSU rRNA". It matches the Rfam family "Bacterial small subunit ribosomal RNA", at positions 30 to 417 of the family's 1533-position model. The record is from RNAcentral.
AUUGAACGCUGGCGGCAUGCUUUACACAUGCAAGUCGAACGGGCUUGGGGGCUUGCUCCCAAGUUAGUGGCGAACGGGUGAGUAAUACAUCGGAACGUACCGUGUAGUGGGGGGUAACGUAGCGAAAGUUACGCUAAUACCGCAUACAAUCUACGGAUGAAAGCAGGGGACCUUCGGGCCUUGUGCUAUACGAGCGGCCGAUGUCUGAUUAGCUAGUUGGUGAGGUAAAGGCUCACCAAGGCGACGAUCAGUAGCGGGUCUGAGAGGAUGAUCCGCCACACUGGGACUGAGACACGGCCCAGACUCCUACGGGAGGCAGCAGUGGGGAAUUUUGGACAAUGGGCGAAAGCCUGAUCCAGCCAUGCCGCGUGUCUGAAGAAGGCCU